Molecule: ribosomal RNA, 500 nt
Filed under: uncultured Glomeromycotina
Lineage: Eukaryota; Fungi; Glomeromycota
Description: partial small subunit ribosomal RNA
Rfam family: Eukaryotic small subunit ribosomal RNA
Source: RNAcentral
CCAAUAGCGUAUAUUAAAGUUGUUGCAGUUAAAAAGCUCGUAGUUGAAUUUUGGGUCUGGCCGGGCGGUCCGCCCUCUGGGUGAGCACUGUUCCGACGUCGGGCCUAUCCUUCUGGUGAGUCGGCAUGUCCUUUAUUGGGUGUGUCGGGGAACCAGGACCAUUACCUUGAAAAAAUUAGAGUGUUCAAAGCAGGCGUAUGCUCGGAUACAUUAGCAUGGAAUAAUGAGAUAGGACGCGUGGUGCUAUUUUGUUGGUUUCUAGAACCGCCGUAAUGAUUAAUAGGGAUAGUUGGGGGCAUUAGUAUUCAAUUGUCAGAGGUGAAAUUCUUGGAUUUAUUGAAGACUAACUUCUGCGAAAGCAUUUGCCAAGGAUGUUUUCAUUAAUCAAGAACGAAAGUUAGGGGAUCGAAGACGAUCAGAUACCGUCGUAGUCUUAACCAUAAACUAUGCCGACUAGGAAUCGGGCGAUGUUAUUCUCAUGACUCGCCCGGCGCCUUAUG